UGCAAUGAUGAGGUUAUUGAGUAAUCUCGUUAAUCUGAUUGAUUUAUGAGGAAAAUUACUCUAUCCAUUCUUGAUCCACUGAGC
RNAcentral lists this small nucleolar RNA (84 nucleotides) under Capsicum annuum. Its description in RNAcentral is "Small nucleolar RNA U30". It matches the Rfam family "Small nucleolar RNA U30". Lineage: Eukaryota; Viridiplantae; Streptophyta; Magnoliopsida; Solanales; Solanaceae. RNAcentral also lists the same sequence under 1 other name. The record is from Rfam by way of RNAcentral.